RNAcentral lists this small RNA (117 nucleotides) under uncultured Phytobacter sp. RNAcentral's name for it is "isrA Hfq binding RNA". It matches the Rfam family "isrA Hfq binding RNA". Lineage: Bacteria; Pseudomonadati; Pseudomonadota; Gammaproteobacteria; Enterobacterales; Enterobacteriaceae. The record is from RNAcentral.
AUCUUCACCGUCACGCCGCGCCCGGUCUCAAAUCCUGCCUCGGCCAGCCAGUCGCCUUUAAGGUGCAGGCUGAGGCUGCGUGUAUAUUCGGUGUGGACUUUGGUUUUACGUUUGAUG